RNAcentral lists this ribosomal RNA (2902 nucleotides) under Escherichia coli TW14425. RNAcentral's name for it is "bacterial LSU rRNA". It matches the Rfam family "Bacterial large subunit ribosomal RNA". Lineage: Bacteria; Pseudomonadati; Pseudomonadota; Gammaproteobacteria; Enterobacterales; Enterobacteriaceae. The record is from RNAcentral.
UUAAGCGACUAAGCGUACACGGUGGAUGCCCUGGCAGUCAGAGGCGAUGAAGGACGUGCUAAUCUGCGAUAAGCGUCGGUAAGGUGAUAUGAACCGUUAUAACCGGCGAUUUCCGAAUGGGGAAACCCAGUGUGAUUCGUCACACUAUCAUUAACUGAAUCCAUAGGUUAAUGAGGCGAACCGGGGGAACUGAAACAUCUAAGUACCCCGAGGAAAAGAAAUCAACCGAGAUUCCCCCAGUAGCGGCGAGCGAACGGGGAGCAGCCCAGAGCCUGAAUCAGUGUGUGUGUUAGUGGAAGCGUCUGGAAAGGCGCGCGAUACAGGGUGACAGCCCCGUACACAAAAAUGCACAUAUUGUGAGCUCGAUGAGUAGGGCGGGACACGUGGUAUCCUGUCUGAAUAUGGGGGGACCAUCCUCCAAGGCUAAAUACUCCUGACUGACCGAUAGUGAACCAGUACCGUGAGGGAAAGGCGAAAAGAACCCCGGCGAGGGGAGUGAAAAAGAACCUGAAACCGUGUACGUACAAGCAGUGGGAGCACGCUUAGGCGUGUGACUGCGUACCUUUUGUAUAAUGGGUCAGCGACUUAUAUUCUGUAGCAAGGUUAACCGAAUAGGGGAGCCGAAGGGAAACCGAGUCUUAACUGGGCGUUAAGUUGCAGGGUAUAGACCCGAAACCCGGUGAUCUAGCCAUGGGCAGGUUGAAGGUUGGGUAACACUAACUGGAGGACCGAACCGACUAAUGUUGAAAAAUUAGCGGAUGACUUGUGGCUGGGGGUGAAAGGCCAAUCAAACCGGGAGAKAGCUGGUUCUCCCCGAAAGCUAUUUAGGUAGCGCCUCGUGAAUUCAUCUCCGGGGGUAGAGCACUGUUUCGGCAAGGGGGUCAUCCCGACUUACCAACCCGAUGCAAACUGCGAAUACCGGAGAAUGUUAUCACGGGAGACACACGGCGGGUGCUAACGUCCGUCGUGAAGAGGGAAACAACCCAGACCGCCAGCUAAGGUCCCAAAGUCAUGGUUAAGUGGGAAACGAUGUGGGAAGGCCCAGACAGCCAGGAUGUUGGCUUAGAAGCAGCCAUCAUUUAAAGAAAGCGUAAUAGCUCACUGGUCGAGUCGGCCUGCGCGGAAGAUGUAACGGGGCUAAACCAUGCACCGAAGCUGCGGCAGCGACGCUGAUGCGUUGUUGGGUAGGGGAGCGUUCUGUAAGCCUGUGAAGGUGUGCUGUGAGGCAUGCUGGAGGUAUCAGAAGUGCGAAUGCUGACAUAAGUAACGAUAAAGCGGGUGAAAAGCCCGCUCGCCGGAAGACCAAGGGUUCCUGUCCAACGUUAAUCGGKGCAGGGUGAGUCGACCCCUAAGGCGAGGCCGAAAGGCGUAGUCGAUGGGAAACAGGUUAAUAUUCCUGUACUUGGUGUUACUGCGAAGGGGGGACGGAGAAGGCUAUGUUGGCCGGGCGACGGUUGUCCCGGUUUAAGCGUGUAGGCUGGUUUUCCAGGCAAAUCCGGAAAAUCAAGGCUGAGGCGUGAUGACGAGGCACUACGGUGCUGAAGCAACAAAUGCCCUGCUUCCAGGAAAAGCCUCUAAGCAUCAGGUAACAUCAAAUCGUACCCCAAACCGACACAGGUGGUCAGGUAGAGAAUACCAAGGCGCUUGAGAGAACUCGGGUGAAGGAACUAGGCAAAAUGGUGCCGUAACUUCGGGAGAAGGCACGCUGAUAUGUAGGUGAAGUCCCUCGCGGAUGGAGCUGAAAUCAGUCGAAGAUACCAGCUGGCUGCAACUGUUUAUUAAAAACACAGCACUGUGCAAACACGAAAGUGGACGUAUACGGUGUGACGCCUGCCCGGUGCCGGAAGGUUAAUUGAUGGGGUCAGCGCAAGCGAAGCUCUUGAUCGAAGCCCCGGUAAACGGCGGCCGUAACUAUAACGGUCCUAAGGUAGCGAAAUUCCUUGUCGGGUAAGUUCCGACCUGCACGAAUGGCGUAAUGAUGGCCAGGCUGUCUCCACCCGAGACUCAGUGAAAUUGAACUCGCUGUGAAGAUGCAGUGUACCCGCGGCAAGACGGAAAGACCCCGUGAACCUUUACUAUAGCUUGACACUGAACAUUGAGCCUUGAUGUGUAGGAUAGGUGGGAGGCUUAGAAGUGUGGACGCCAGUCUGCAUGGAGCCGACCUUGAAAUACCACCCUUUAAUGUUUGAUGUUCUAACGUUGACCCGUAAUCCGGGUUGCGGACAGUGUCUGGUGGGUAGUUUGACUGGGGCGGUCUCCUCCUAAAGAGUAACGGAGGAGCACGAAGGUUGGCUAAUCCUGGUCGGACAUCAGGAGGUUAGUGCAAUGGCAUAAGCCAGCUUGACUGCGAGCGUGACGGCGCGAGCAGGUGCGAAAGCAGGUCAUAGWGAUCCGGUGGUUCUGAAUGGAAGGGCCAUCGCUCAACGGAUAAAAGGUACUCCGGGGAUAACAGGCUGAUACCGCCCAAGAGUUCAUAUCGACGGCGGUGUUUGGCACCUCGAUGUCGGCUCAUCACAUCCUGGGGCUGAAGUAGGUCCCAAGGGUAUGGCUGUUCGCCAUUUAAAGUGGUACGCGAGCUGGGUUUAGAACGUCGUGAGACAGUUCGGUCCCUAUCUGCCGUGGGCGCUGGAGAACUGAGGGGGGCUGCUCCUAGUACGAGAGGACCGGAGUGGACGCAUCACUGGUGUUCGGGUUGUCAUGCCAAUGGCACUGCCCGGUAGCUAAAUGCGGAAGAGAUAAGUGCUGAAAGCAUCUAAGCACGAAACUUGCCCCGAGAUGAGUUCUCCCUGACUCCUUGAGAGUCCUGAAGGAACGUUGAAGACGACGACGUUGAUAGGCCGGGUGUGUAAGCGCAGCGAUGCGUUGAGCUAACCGGUACUAAUGAACCGUGAGGCUUAACCUU